Molecule: long non-coding RNA, 619 nt
Organism: Quercus robur (English oak)
Lineage: Eukaryota; Viridiplantae; Streptophyta; Magnoliopsida; Fagales; Fagaceae
Exons: 3
Source: RefSeq, a predicted model, not a curated record
UAUUCUUUCUCAAUAUUAUCAUGCUUUAAUAACAUCUUGCAUGUUUGGAUUUUUCAGGUAGCUGUCCUUGUCCUUCUAUGUAAAAUUGAUCAUAUGAUAGGUGGCACCUUCCAAGAUGAACAAUCUCGAAUAAUAACACAAGCACUUAUUAGACUUCAUUGCUUGUUCUGCAAUCUCACUCUUAUAAAUUUUCUUGACCAGGCUAGACUUCUAAGUUUGGGCUAAGUUAGAUAUUCACAAGGCGUACAACUUCGUUCCUUGGGGUGCUGCCUUCAAUACCCUUGAGUACAUGAAAUUUCCUGAAAUUUAGGUAACUAGUCUUGGUGUAUGCAUGCAAAUGGGUUGAAAAAGACUGAAUGGGGAAUGCAAUUUAGAAGAGGCUUUUGCUGUAAGGCUGAAGAAUUGGUUUGUGAGCAUGUAGUCAUCAUCAAAGAAGGCAACUACCUUCAUAGAUGGGGAAGUUUCCAGUGACAAACAUGAAGCUAGACAGUAUAUGUUCGAAAAUGAUGGAAUUCUUGAUAUGAUAUCAUGAUCUUAAGAAGACAAACGUUUGAAAGAAAAGGAGAAUCAAUAUCAUAUUCUUGAAUAAAUGAAUUAUUGUCAUAUAUGGUAGGUGUCA